RNAcentral lists this unclassified non-coding RNA (146 nucleotides) under soil metagenome. RNAcentral describes it as "partial internal transcribed spacer 1". The record is from RNAcentral.
UAAUAAGUGUUUUAUGGCACUUUUUAAAUCCAUAUCCACCUUGUGUGCAAUGUCAGUCGAUCUUCUUCAUGGAGAUCGUCCAAACAUCAACCUUUAUCUUUUAACUCUUUGUCUGAAAAAUAUUAUGAAUAAACUAAUUCAAAAUA